This 253-nucleotide ribosomal RNA is filed under the name uncultured bacterium. RNAcentral's name for it is "partial 16S ribosomal RNA". It matches the Rfam family "Bacterial small subunit ribosomal RNA", at positions 524 to 776 of the family's 1533-position model. The record is from RNAcentral.
UACGGAGGGAGCUAGCGUUGUUCGGAAUUACUGGGCGUAAAGCGCACGUAGGCGGCUUUGUAAGUUAGGGGUGAAAGCCCGGAGCUCAACUCCGGAAUUGCCUUUAAGACUGCAUCGCUUGAAUCCGGGAGAGGUGAGUGGAAUUCCGAGUGUAGAGGUGAAAUUCGUAGAUAUCAGGAAGAACACCGGUGGCGAAGGCGGCUCGCUGGGCCAGAUCCGACACUCAUCCGCGAAAGCGUGGGGAGCAAACAGG